Molecule: ribosomal RNA, 496 nt
Filed under: Vibrio diazotrophicus
Lineage: Bacteria; Pseudomonadati; Pseudomonadota; Gammaproteobacteria; Vibrionales; Vibrionaceae
Description: bacterial SSU rRNA
Rfam family: Bacterial small subunit ribosomal RNA
Source: RNAcentral
GGCUUUCGGAGCUAACGCGUUAAGCAGUCCGCCUGGGGGAGUACGGUCGCAAGAUUAAAACUCAAAAGGAAUUGACGGGGGCCCGCACAAGCGGUGGAGCAUGUGGUUUAAUUCGAUGCAACGCGAAGAACCUUACCUACUCUUGACAUCCACAGAAUCCUGCGGAGACGCGGGAGUCCCUUUGGGAACUCUGAGACAGAUGCGGCACGGCUGUCGUCAGAUCGCGUUGUGAAAUGUUGGGUUAAGUCCCGCAACGAGCGCACCCCUUAUCCUUGUUUGCCAGCGAGUAAUGUCGGGAACUCCAGGGAGACUGCCGGUGAUAAACCGGAGGAAGGUGGGGACGACGUCAAGUCAUCAUGGCCCUUACGAGUAGGGCUACACACGUGCUACAAUGGCGCAUACAGAGGGCAGCGAACUUGCGAGAGUAAGCGAAUCCCAAAAAGUGCGUCGUAGUCCGGAUUGGAGUCUGCAACUCGACUCCAUGAAGUCGGAAUCG